AACCCCCGCGGGGAGCCGGCGUCAGGCACGUUGGCCCAAGAAGGGCGGUGCCGACGCGGCCUCGUGAUCUGUGGGCGACAAGAGCUUCAAACGAGUCUUGCCGUAUGUCCCACCACGGGCCGGGUUUUCCAAGGGUAACCUUAGAAAGGAGGUGAUCCAACCGCAGGUUCCCCUACGGUUA
RNAcentral lists this unclassified non-coding RNA (181 nucleotides) under uncultured fungus. RNAcentral describes it as "sequence contains ITS1". Lineage: Eukaryota; Fungi. The record is from RNAcentral.